UUUUCCUUUUUAAAAGCCACUGUUAAAUGAUGUGUUUGUUUUUUAUAACAGCCACCAAGAAAAAGGCUGAAAAAAAAAAACAGGUGGUGGUCCUGCACCACCACAAUAUACCCCAGCAGAGGAGCUGGCCCUUGGAUUGAAUGAAAACCGAACCAUUGUGGAGGGCAUCCCUGGGGGCAGCUCUUCCUCAGACCCAAAGACAGGGACCAGUAGCAGCAACACCUUCAUUACUGUUUUGCAUAAUACACCAACACUUUUACCUGUUCCCAUGCAAGUGGUGGCUGAAGCAUAUGCAGACAGUGAAGAAACCCUCUCAGGAGACUGUCCUUUGGAGGAAGAACCUGUAAGUGCAUAAAUACCUUUACACUAAUUUGUAUAUAGCCUACUUGUGUACCUAUUCUUUCUGUCUGCAAUUUGAGUUG
Carassius carassius (crucian carp) is the source of this 422-nucleotide long non-coding RNA. RefSeq lists it as uncharacterized. Lineage: Eukaryota; Metazoa; Chordata; Actinopteri; Cypriniformes; Cyprinidae. The transcript is spliced from 3 exons. The record is from RefSeq and is a predicted model, not a curated record.